GUAGGUGGCAAGCGUUGUCCGGGAAUUAUUGGGGCGUAAAGCGCGCGCAGGCGGUUCUUUAAGUCUGAUGUGAAAGCCCACGGGCUCAACCGUGGAGGGUCAUUGGAAACUGGAGAACUUGAGUACAGAAGAGGAAAGCGGAAUUCCACGUGUAGCGGUGAAAUGCGUAGAGAUGUGGAGGAACACCAGUGGCGAAGGCGGCUUUCUGGUCUGUAACUGACGCUGAGGCGCGAAAGCGUGGGGAGCAAACAGGAUUAGAUACCCUGGUAGUCCGCGCCGUAAACGAUGAGUGCUAAGUGUUAGGGGGUUUCCGCCCCUUAGUGCUGCAGCUAACGCAUUAAGCGCUCCGCCUGGGGAGUACGGCCGCAAAGGCUG
Molecule: ribosomal RNA, 375 nt
Filed under: uncultured organism
Description: partial 16S ribosomal RNA
Rfam family: Bacterial small subunit ribosomal RNA
Source: RNAcentral